RNAcentral lists this ribosomal RNA (434 nucleotides) under uncultured bacterium. RNAcentral describes it as "partial 16S ribosomal RNA". It matches the Rfam family "Bacterial small subunit ribosomal RNA", at positions 29 to 507 of the family's 1533-position model. The record is from RNAcentral.
AGCGAACGCUGGCGGCAGGCCUAACACAUGCAAGUCGAACGCACAGUUCGGGGUUAGUGGCGGUACAGUGUAGAACACGAGGUAACGUGGGGUUAGGAACGCGAUGAUAAAGGGACAGGUAUGGUAAUACAGAAUGUGCACUCGGGGGGUAAGAUUGUACACUUUUAAUGAGGCCGGGGUAGUAAUAGGUAGUUGGCUGAGGUACUGGCACAACAAGGCGACGCUCAGUAGCUGGUCUGAGAGGAUGUUCCGCCACAUUGGGACUGAGACACGUCCCGAACUCCUACGGGAGGCAGCAGUGGGGAAUCUUGCGCAAUGCGUGAGAGACUGACGUUGCCAUGCCGCGUGAAUGUUGAAGGUCUUAGGAUUGUAAAAUUCUUUCACCAGGGCCGAUAAUGACGGUACCCUGAGAAGAAGCCCCGGCUAACUUCGUG